GCUGGGCGUGGUGGCAUGUGCCUGUAGUCCUAGCUACUCGGGAGGCUGAGGUGGGAGGAUUGCUUGAGCCCAGGAGUUCUGGGCUGCAGUGCGCUAUGCCGAUCGGGUGUCCGCACUAAGUUCGGCAUCAAUUUGGUGACCUCCCGGGAGUAGGGGACCACCAGGUUGCCUAAGGUGAACGGCCCAGGUCGGAAACGGAGCAGGUAAAAACUUCUGUGCUGAUCAGUAGUGGGAUCGCGCCUGUGAAUAGCCACUGCACUCCAGCCUGGGCAACAUAGCGAGACCCGUCUCU
Molecule: signal recognition particle RNA, 292 nt
Filed under: Aotus nancymaae (Ma's night monkey)
Lineage: Eukaryota; Metazoa; Chordata; Mammalia; Primates; Aotidae
Description: Metazoan signal recognition particle RNA (ENSANAG00000004771.1)
Rfam family: Metazoan signal recognition particle RNA
About the family: The signal recognition particle (SRP) is a universally conserved ribonucleoprotein. It is involved in the co-translational targeting of proteins to membranes. The eukaryotic SRP consists of a 300-nucleotide 7S RNA and six proteins: SRPs 72, 68, 54, 19, 14, and 9.
Source: RNAcentral